This 497-nucleotide ribosomal RNA is filed under the name uncultured bacterium. Its description in RNAcentral is "partial 16S ribosomal RNA". It matches the Rfam family "Bacterial small subunit ribosomal RNA", at positions 28 to 507 of the family's 1533-position model. The record is from RNAcentral.
GAUGAACGCUGGCGGCGUGCCUAAUACAUGCAAGUCGAGCGAACGGACGAGAAGCUUGCUUCUCUGAUGUUAGCGGCGGACGGGUGAGUAACACGUGGAUAACCUACCUAUAAGACUGGGAUAACUUCGGGAAACCGGAGCUAAUACCGGAUAAUAUUUUGAACCGCAUGGUUCAAAAGUGAAAGACGGUCUUGCUGUCACUUAUAGAUGGAUCCGCGCUGCAUUAGCUAGUUGGUAAGGUAACGGCUUACCAAGGCAACGAUGCAUAGCCGACCUGAGAGGGUGAUCGGCCACACUGGAACUGAGACACGGUCCAGACUCCUACGGGAGGCAGCAGUAGGGAAUCUUCCGCAAUGGGCGAAAGCCUGACGGAGCAACGCCGCGUGAGUGAUGAAGGUAUUCGGAUCGUAAAACUCCGUUAUUAGGGAAGAACAUAUGUGUAAGUAACUGUGCACAUCUUGACGGUACCUAAUCAGAAAGCCACGGCUAACUACGUG